RNAcentral lists this long non-coding RNA (3884 nucleotides) under Lotus japonicus. RNAcentral describes it as "long non-coding RNA (LJAP_LNC001672)". Lineage: Eukaryota; Viridiplantae; Streptophyta; Magnoliopsida; Fabales; Fabaceae. The record is from RNAcentral.
GCAAAGUAAGAAUCUUUGCUUAAACAGAGAACUUUUAUUAGUCACUUAGAUGGAAUACAAAAGACUAGUGAGGCUGAUGAGGAGGAAGACAAGGAGCCUUCCAAGUCCCAACCAUCACUACAAUAAAUCACAAUAACAAUAAUCGAAUAUUAUCAAAGUACAAAGCAGACACCAGGAUGAAAGGAGUUAAGGGUUUAAUUAAUUAAUAGCAUACGAAUCCCUUAGGGACCCCCUUUCCACAGUAGUUGAGAAUCAAGCUCAAGUUGAUGGGGAGGUUAAGGUUGAUUCCAAGCACAUUAGCCUUGAGAGCAGUGCAAAGGCACACAGCAGCUUCAAGAUCAACAAGUCCCUCAAGGAGGGAGCAGCAUGGGGUCUUUGGUGGCUUUCCAAGCUUCACAUUGAUCAAAUCCAACACAUCAGCACACACACCUAACUUUAUAGUGUCCCUUGGGCAACUAGGUUGCUUUGUGGAGGGUGGCUUUGUGGAGGGUGUGUGUUUGUGACCCUUGGCGGGUGGGGAGCAUGGGACAUUUGUGGAGCUAACCACUGCGAAGAAGAAGACAAGGUUGAGAGAGAGGAGAAUAGCAGCCUUGGAAGCCAUUGAGAAAGAUGUUAAUUGGAAGCUACUAAGUAACCGUUAGAAUGCUACUACUUAAUUACUUCAGUUUGGAGUGUGAGUUUGGUGGAUGGAGUUGGAGGGGGUUUUAUAAGGGAGGAUUUGGUGAGUUACUAUUUAUUUUAAGGUUUAAAUUAUUGGUUUGUUUGGACGCCCAUGUGAGUGAGUGAGCCCAUUGGGUGGAUAUUGGAUAGUUAGCACAAGCUGGCAGUUGAACAUGAAUGAAGGAAAUAUGGUUUAAAUCUGGGAAAAUAUUGGAUAUUUUUUUAUAUAUAUGAUGUUUGGAGCUAUGUGCUUGCUGCAGUUUGUUAGUUGUCAGCUCCAUGAAAUCAUUUUCUAUGUAUUGUCUCUAAGUAAAACAAAUUAAUUCAUAUUGCGAAGUGCAUGUCCUUGUUUCAUAUAUUAUUGAAAAUGAAUUGAUCACAAGAGCUCAAGAUUGUUCUUAUUACUCUGUAUUUGUUGUCUCUUACAGCUCAAGUUCUUUUGUCAAAUAUGCUGGAAAAUGCAAUGUGUUACAAAAUAAAAUAAUAGACCCAAUACUUCAACUCAAUAUUGACUAAGUCAUACACAUAUGAGAAUAAUGAUUCCUAAUUAAAAUAAUAUCAUAAAUUGUUGGAUAAUACAUGUUACAGUAUAAUAUCAUAUCUGCGAUGUUUCUAUCCAAGUUUGUCAACAAUCCUACAUACAGAUACACAUUAAGGGGGUCACUCCUCAAGUACACACUAUCUGCUCAACCCUAAUCCUUAUUUCUCUUUAGCCUCGCUGACUUGAGAGUCAGAGUGCCUAGCAGGUACCGUACCACCUCUAGUGCCCACCUGAUUACCGAAUACGAGAAGAAAGGGGCCAUUCCAUGGAGCAACAGUCCAACGGACCAGUCCUUCCACCUUGUCUAGGUCCUAUACUCAGGUUAAAGUUUCAGUUACUCGAGUGUUGGCACUGUCUGUGGGGAACGGUAAACCGUAUUCUCAUUGAUCUCUGUUAUGUCAAAUAUAGGAAGGAAGCAAGGGAACCAUACUCCCUCCCAGGAAGGACAACCUUUUACUAUCCGCGAAAGUCAGAUUGAUCCAAGCAAUCCGCUUGCCUGGCGACGGACACCAAAGACUUCAACAUUCCUGGCCACCUAGCCCGAGAAAAGAAGGAUUAAACCUAAAAUUAUUGGGUAUGUGAGCCUUUUCACUAAUAUUAUUAUUUUUAUGUAUUUCACUCUAAGGUAACUAAUAUGAGACACUAAACUUACACUUAGAACUACCGCCAAUGUGCGUAAAUCAAUUGUUGUUGGGUUGUUAUGCAGCUGUAUUAUAUAUUUGGUAUAGAGAUUUAUGAGGCCCAUUGUGGUUUUUAUCAAUCUGAACAUAUAUAAUUGUCUCAUUGGAGGAUAUAUGUAUUAAUGUCAUUGUGUUUAUUUAAUUUGAACCUUGUUUAAAAUCACUUUGACUGUUGAAGUUAUCUUAAGCUAAUGGAAAAUGCUGUUGUUACUUUGUAUAGGAUUAAAGGAGAGCGUUUCGUAACAAGUUUAGUAAGAUAGAAGGUGUAUUCCAAAGAGCUCCAAGUUGAGCAGAUGGAAACUGAACUUGCUGUAGGUGGAACACUUUAACAUGUAUGUGUUUUAAUUUUGGUUUAUAUAUUAACAUGUCAUUUACUUUAGACAUGUUCUAAAACAUAAUAUUUUGCAAGUAAUAGUGCAGAUCCACUAAUAACUACUGCAAAGUGGUAAGCUUAGGACUGGUUUAAUUGGUGUCUGGUGGCUCAAUCAGUAAAAAAAGAAUUGCCUAAAUUAAAGAUUUUAUAAAUAAUAUAGUGAUCACUAUUAGAGUAUAUAGGAUAGCUGGGGAUAUGAAAAUAUCGCCCAUGUGCUUGUGUGUGUGUGCCAGCUGGCAUGCCAGCUGGACACAGCUGUUAGAAGCUUGUUAGAACAGUUAUGUUUCUGUUAUGCAGUUAGAGUCAGUUACUGUUAGAGGUUAACUUGCAGUGUAAGUCACUGAGAUCCUAUAUAAGGAUCAAUCUCACAUUGUAACAAGUAACAACCACCAAUUGAUAAUGAAUAUUUCAGAUUCUGUUUCUUUUCUCUUUCUCGGGUUUCUCUAACAAUCACCUUCUAACUUACAUUGAUGUAAAGUGGUAAACCAUUAGAUGAUGAGGCUUGUUCUUGAAAAUGGGGUCAUUCUUUAAAAUUUCUAAAAACGAUUUCUGGAUUAGGAGGUCAAAUGUCACAGUUAUAGCCGAAUUAUCAUGUUAUAGAAAACUGACCCCUGCAUGAUUUCUCUUCAUUAUGAAUCUAAGCAAAGAAAAUGACUGUCAAGAAAUCUCUUGUAUUUAUAGAAAAUGAUUUACAGUGAAGUUUCUUCCUUAUAAUUCCAAGCUAAGAAAUUGAUUUCACUGUACUUAUUUCUGCUCCUAUAAAUCCUUUUAGAAGUACAACCUUGCACUUAUAUUCUUCGCCAGUCUGAUGGAAUAGGAUAUUUCCAAGUUAAUUUCUUUUGGAAAUACUCCUUAGAUUAGCCUAAGAAGAUCACCAGUGAAUGUCAGGAAACAAAUAAACAAGAACCUUGCCAAAGUGCCUUCUCAAUUUUCUCCACUUCUCUGCCCAUUCAACACCAGUAUAUUUAAUUCUUUAUUAAUUUUAUUGCUCUUAUUAUCUUGUUCCAUGUGUUGAUUAUGCCCUUAUCUUUAUACUGAUAACAUGUAAAUUAUAACUCAUUUUCAAGAACCUGUAAUUAUGAGAUAGUAUAAGUAUGCAGUUAUGGUCAAAAAUGUUAAUUAAUUGCAUUUUUUACUACUGCCAUAGUUUGCCUUAAUAUGAUGGAGAAAGUGUAGUGACUUGGGAUGCUUGGCUGGUUGGUGAUGUAAGCAUGCUAUCUUUUGCAUAUACUAUGAUUUUAUAUUAAAUGGAAAUUUAGAAAGGAAAUAGGCGAAAGGAAAACAAAAAGAAAUAUAUAUAGCAAAGUAAGAACCUCUGCUCAAACAGAGAAUUUUUAUUAGUCCCUUAGAUGGAAUACAAAAGACUAGUGAGGCUGAUGACGAGGAAGACAAGGAGCCUUCCAAGUCCCAACCAUCACUACAAUAAAUCACAAUAACAAUAAUCGAAUAUUAUCAAAGUACAAAGCAGACACCAUGAUGAAAGGAAUUAAGGGUUUAAUUAAUUAAUAGCAUACGAAUCCCUUAGGGACCCCCUUUCCACAGUAGUUGAGAAUCAAGCUCAAGUUGAUGGGGAGGUUAAGGUUGAUUCCAAGCACAUUAGCCUUGAGAGCAGUGCAAAGGCACACAGCAG